UCAGCAAGAUGAGUGAUCGCUCCCCGCGAAGCUUUCAGCGAAGUGGGGGGGAGGAAAGUCCGAACACCAACGCCCCGAAAGGGAGUUAAAAAAAUAGCGGCUAACGGCCGUCCAUCGUAAGAUGCGAGGUGCGAACAGAAACGCCGAAACCGAAAGGUUGAGGCGCCCGUCCCGCAAGGGAUUAGGGCGAUUCCAAUUGAAAGAUUGGGCUGAAACGGCUAAAUCCUUAUUGGGCGCAAGAACAAACCCUUGAUUAUUGUUUCAUCAGUAAAAGAGGUUAAAAGUAGUUCGCUUGACCCUGAGAGCAAUCGAAUGGGCAGACAGAUGAUCACAUAACACAAAAUUCGGCUUAUAGUCUUGCUGAGGCA
RNAcentral lists this RNase P RNA (368 nucleotides) under Candidatus Staskawiczbacteria bacterium RIFOXYC1_FULL_38_18. RNAcentral describes it as "RNase P RNA component class A". It matches the Rfam family "Bacterial RNase P class A". Rfam says of the family: Ribonuclease P (RNase P) is a ubiquitous endoribonuclease, found in archaea, bacteria and eukarya as well as chloroplasts and mitochondria. Its best characterised activity is the generation of mature 5'-ends of tRNAs by cleaving the 5'-leader elements of precursor-tRNAs. Cellular RNase Ps are ribonucleoproteins. The record is from RNAcentral. RNAcentral also lists the same sequence under 1 other name. Lineage: Bacteria; Candidatus Staskawicziibacteriota.